Molecule: ribosomal RNA, 434 nt
Filed under: uncultured archaeon
Lineage: Archaea
Description: bacterial SSU rRNA
Rfam family: Archaeal small subunit ribosomal RNA
Source: RNAcentral
GGACCUGACUGCUAUCGGAUUGAUACUAAGCCAUGCGAGUCUUUGUAGUAAUACAAGGCAUACGGCUCAGUAACGCGUAGUCAACCUACCCUAUGGACAAGAAUAAUCUCGGGAAACUGAGCAUAAUUCUUGAUAGAUCAUAAUGCCUGGAAUGGUUUAUGGUUAAAAUGAUUCGUCGCCAUAGGAUGGGACUGCGGCCUAUCAGCUUGUUGGUGAGGUAAUGGCCCACCAAGACUAUUACAGGUACGGGCUCUGAGAGGAGUAGCCCGGAGAUGGGCACUGAGACACGGACCCAGGCCCUAUGGGGCGCAGCAGGCGAGAAAACUUUGCAAUGUGCGAAAGCACGACAAGGUUAAUCCGAGUGGUUUCUGCUAAAGAAACCUUUUGUCAGUCCUAGAAACACUGAUGAAUAAGGGGUGGGCAAGUUCUGGUGU